GGUUAAUGUUCAUUUCCUUCCAGGUUAAUGUUCAUUUCCUUCCAGGUUAAUGUUCAUUUCCUUCCAGGUUAAUGUUCAUUUCCUUUCAGGUUAAUGUUCAUUUCCUUCCAGGUUAAUGUUCAUUUCCUUUCAGGUUAAUGUUCAUUUCCUUCCAGGUUAUUGUUCAUUUCUUUUCAGAUUUAUGUUCAUUCCUUCCAGGUUAAUGUUCAUUUCCUUUCAGAUUAACAUGAACUUCCUUUCAGUUUAACAUUAAUUUCCUUUCAGGUUAACAUUAAUUUCAUUUUAGGUUAAUGUGUUGCUUUUUUGGUUAACCCUCUCGCGCACAAUGACGCGUUCCGCAUCAUCAAGGGUAAAAGGUCCUGGCGCACAAUGACGCGAAACACGUCAUAAAAGUUUUUAAAAUUGAUUUAAAAUUAAGUUUUCACUGAAAGUGCGUCACAUUAGGGAGCGUCAUUUGUUGGGAUAAGUUUCUUAAUGGUAACAUAUGGCAACCUUUCUAAGGAGCGUAGAUGCAUGAGGAGGAGGGAGGAGGAGCAAUGUGGGGAAGAGUUGGUUCUUAGGAUUUAUUGUCUACAAUACUCUAUACAGAGACUUGAAACGAGUUUGUAUUGUUUAUUUUACUCUAUUUUUAUUUGCGCAUGUUCUACUACAAGUCUUGAUGAAGCCAUUGAUACCAAAUUUAUUGGGGUACGAUAUAUCUGGGAGAGUAAAAUACGUCCGGGAAUGUAGAGUAUCGCAGUGGCAAAAAAAGGCCGGUCGGGCCUGAGAAAUGCAUGGUGAGUGGAACAGAAACUUAUGCGCACCGGGCCUGAGAAAUGCAUGGUGAGUGGAACAGAAACUUAUGCGCACCGGGCCUGAGAAAUGCAUGGUGAGUGGAACAGAAACUUAUUGGAAACUUACGGUGCGCAAGAGGGUUAAUUGGGAGAAAAGGCUAUUAAGUGGUCUAACAAUGAGUUUAAUUGGGAGAAAAAGGUUAUUAGGUGGUUUAAGAAUGUAUUUAAUUAGGAGAAAAAAGGUUAAGUGGUCUAAGAAUGAAUUUAAUUGGGAGAAAACGAGUAUUAGGUGGUCUAAGAAUGUAUUUAAUUGGGAGAAAAAAGGUUAUAAGUGGUCUAAGAAUGUAUUUAAUUGGGAGAAAAAAGGUUAAGUGGUCUAAGAAUGUAUUUAAUGGACCGUAUUGGCUAUACAGGCAGCGCCACACGUGGCCACUCGGUGAACUGUCAAAGCAGUACUUUCCAUAGAAUACAACUUAUGUACUAGAGUGCGUCUGAGGCUGCCUCCAGGAUACAGGGCCUUGGUGCCGCCACCGCUCCAAGCCAACGACUACACACACUUUACUCCUACCUGAUUUCCUAACUCUACUAUUUGACAUGGAGAAAAACUGAAAUCGGCUAGGAGUGAAGUGUGUGCAAUCAUCGGCUUGGGGCAAUGGUGGCACCAUGGCCAUGUAUCCCGGAGACAGCCUCAUACGCACCCUAGUCUAUAACUUGAACUCUAUGGAAAGGACAGCUUGGAGUUGAGUGGCCACAUGUGGCACUGCCUAUAUAGCCAAAACGGUCCAUUGGGAGAAAAAAGGUUAUUAAGUGUUCUAAGAAUGUAUUUAAUUGGGAGAAAAGAGGUUAAGUGGUCUAAGAAUGUAUUUAAUUGGGAGAAAAAAGGUUAUUAAGUGGUCUAAGAAUGUAUUUAAUUGGGAGAAAAGUUAUUAAAUGUUCUAAGAAUGUAUUUAAUUGGGAGAAAAGAGGUUAAGUGGUCUAAGAAUGUAUUUAACUGGGAGGAAAAAGGUUAUUAAAUGGUCUAAGAACAUAUUUAAUUGGGAGAAAAGGUAAUUAAGUGGUCUAAGAAUGUAUUUAAUUGGGAGAAAAGCUUAUUAAAUGGUCUAAGAAUGUAUUUAAUUGGAGAAAAGGUAAUUAAGUGGCUUAAGAAUGUAUUUAAUUGGGAGAAAAAGUAAUUAAGUGGCUUAAUGUAUUUAAUUGGGAGAAAAGGUAAUUAAGUGGUCUAAGAAUGUAUUUAAUUGGGAGAAAAGGUAAUUAAGUGGUUUAAGAAUGUAUUUAAUUGGGAGAAAAGGUAAUUAAGUGGUCUAAGAAUAUAUUUAAUUGGGAAAAAGUGUAAUGAAGUGGUCUUAGAAUGUAUUUAAUUGGGAGAAAAGGUGAUUAAGUGGCCUAAGAAUGUAUUUGAUUGGGGAAAAAUGUAAUUAAGUGGUCUGAGAAUGUAUUUAAUUGGGAGAAAAGGUAAUUAAGUGGUCUAAGAAUGUAUUUAAUUGGGAGAAAAGGUAAUGAAGUUGUCUAAGAAUGUAUUUAAUUGGGAGAAAAGGUAAUUAAGUGGUCUGAGAAUGUAUUUAAUUGGGAGAAAAGGUAAUUAAGUGGUCUGAGAAUGUAUUUAAUUGGGAGAAAAGGUAAUUAAGUGGUCUAAGAAUGUAUUUAAUUGGGAGAAAAGGUAAUUAAGUGGUCUGAGAAUGUAUUUAAUUGGGAGAAAAGGUAAUUAAGUGGUCUGAGAAUGUAUUUAAUUGGGAGAAAAGGUAAUUAAGUUGUCUAAGAAUGUAUUUAAUUGGGAGAAAAGGUAAUUAAGUGGUCUGAGAAUGUAUUUAAUUGGGAGAAAAGGUAAUUAAGUGGCCUAAGAAUGUAUUUAAUUGGGAGAAAAAAGGUUAUUAAAUGGUCUAAGAAUGUAUUUAAUUGGAGAAAAGGUAAUUAAGUGGCUUAAGAAUGUAUUUAAUUGGGAGAAAAGGUAAUUAAGCAGUCUAAGAAUAUAUUUAAUUGGGUAAAAGUGUAAUUAAGUGGUCUAAGAAUGUAUUUAAUUGGGAGAAAAGGUGAUUAAGUGGCCUAAGAAUGUAUUUGAUUUGGAGAAAAGGUAAUUAAGUGGUCUAAGAAUGUAUUUAAUUGGGAGAAAAAAGGUUAUUAAAUCGUCUAAGAAUGUAUUUAAUUGGAGAAAAGGUAAUUAAGUGGUUUAAGAAUGUAUUUAAUUGGGAGAAAAGGUAAUUAAGUGAUCUAAGAAUAUAUUUAAUUGGGAAAGUGUAAUUACGUGGUCUAAGAAUGUAUUUAAUUGGGAUAAAAAAGGUUAUUAAGUGAUCUAAGAAUGUAUUUAAUUGGGAGAAAGGGUAAUUAAGUUGUCUAAGAAUAUAUUUAAUUGAGAGGAAAGGUGAUUAAGUGGCCUAAGAAUGUAUUUAAUUGGGAGAAAAGGUAAUUAAGUGGCUUAAGAAUGUAUUUAAUUGGGAGAAAAGGUAAUUAAGUUGUCUAAGAAUAUUUAAUUGGGAGAAAAGGUAGUUAAGUGGCUUAAGAAUGUAUUUGAUUGGGAGAAAAGGUAAUUAAGUGGUCUAAGAAUAUAUUUAAUUGGGAAAAAGUGUGAUUAAGUGGUCUAAGAAUGUAUUUAUUUGGGAGAAAAGGUAAUUAAGUGGUCUGAGAAUGUAUUUAAUUGGGAAAAAAGGGUAAUUAAGUGGUCUAAGAAUGUGUUUAAUUGGGAGAAAAGGUAAUUAAGUGGUCUAAGAAUGUAUUUAAUUGGGAGAAAAUGUAAUUAAGUGGUCUAAGAAUGUAUUUAAUUGGGAGGAAAGGUGAUUAAGUGGCCUAAUAAUGUAUAUAAUUGGGAGAAAAGGUGAUUAAGUGGUCUAAGAAUGUAUUUAAUUGGGAGAAAAGGUAAUUAAGUGGUCUAAGAAUGUAUUUAAUUGGGAGGAAAGGUAAUUAAGUGGUCUAAGAAUGUAUUUAAUAGGGAGAAAAUGUAAUUAAGUGGUCUAAGAAUGUAUUUAAUUGGGAGAAAAGGUAAUUAAGUGGCCUAAGAAUGUAUUUAAUUUGGAGAAAAGGUAAUUAAGUGGUCUAAGAAUGUAUUUAAUUGGGAGGAAAGGUAAUUAGUGGCCUAAGAAUGUUUUUAAUUGGGAGAAAAGGUAAUUAAGUGGUCUGAGAAUGUAUUUAAUUCAGAGAAAGGGUAAGCAAGUGGUUUAAGAAUGUAUUUAAUUGGGCAAAGAGGUCAUUAAGUGGUCUUAGAAUUAUUUAAUUGAGAGAAAAGGUCAUUAGGUGAUCUUAGAAUGUUUUUAGUUGGGAGGAAAGGUAAUGAAGUGGUCUAAGAAUGUAUUCAAUUGGGAGAAAAGGUAAUUAAGUGGUCUAAGAAGCUAUUUAAUUAUCUUGUAUUAAAAGAUCAGUGAGUGGAACCCAUGCUUUGUAUGCCCAAAAGUACCAAAUCUGGUACGUUCGUACCCAAAACGGCAAUAUUGCUCUGAACUUUGAAGUGUAUGCAAGCAGUGCCCAAGUCAGGUGAGUUACUCUGUCACGCUAGUCAUAUGAGCUUCGUCACACACUACACACAAACAAACACACAUGAAAACGCACAUUCAUAACACAUUUCGUCUGUGGAAAUAUAUUUAAAAAAAGUGUACUGGUUUGGGGUCCAGUCUAGUGGGUUUGAGGUGAAAAAGCCACGGCCUUGAAAAAGCUCGCCAUCACUCCAUCUUUGCACUGUUUUCUACCUCUCUAAUCACUCGUUAAUGAGGUAUAUUCAGAGUUGCCAGCCAGCGGGUAUUGGGUCACGGCCUACGAAGCUUGAGCUAUUAAUUUAUUGUAAAUUACCAAAGUUGCUCUGGGGCUUGUAACAAUAAUGCUUCAAUAUAAGUGACACUAUUGUUAAUAAAAAUGUACCUGAUCGUUCGCGUGGUUUUAUUUAUUGGUAAAUGAGAGAAAAUAUAAAUGCUGUCCGGCAGCCUCUCCUCAUCCAAAAUCGUUCUUGUAUGAAAGCCCUGUGAAAUCAAGCAAAAAAUGGGCUUUAAAAAAAAUAUAUAUUUACAUUACAAUAUUUGCUGAGUAGUUUACCUGCCGUGGGUGUAUCAGUGUCGCCUUUGGCGAAAUUCAUCAAAAUCAUUAGGGUGCCAGAAUUUACUCCAAUACUCCAACACGACCUCUGCGUGUAACGUAGCCAUAUGUAGGUAUGUACUUACCUA
Molecule: long non-coding RNA, 4912 nt
Organism: Eriocheir sinensis (Chinese mitten crab)
Lineage: Eukaryota; Metazoa; Arthropoda; Malacostraca; Decapoda; Varunidae
Exons: 7
Source: RefSeq, a predicted model, not a curated record